CUGACAAAGGCCCCUCCUCUUGAUGUCCACACCCACGUCCACACCCCCAGAAGCAUCUCCGAGGAGAAUCGCUCUGUGCUGCCUAUUACACACGUGGGAGAGAAGGAUCAGAAGGAGAACAUUCACGCCCCCUUCUGAGAUUCCCCAAACUAACAGCUAACGUAGAUCGCUGGCUCACCCCGUCUCUGAGCUGGGCUCUCGGCACGAAGGCGGCUGAUGUCAUGUCACCGCCACCCUGCGUGAAGGCACCUUUGUGACCCCACUCCAGAGACGAGGAACCGGAAGCCCAAGCGGCCAGCCUCAGACCACAGGCCGAAGCCCAAAGCGCCAGGAUCUGCAGCCCAGGCAGCCUGGCCCCGGAGGCUGCCCCUCAACCGCCCCGCAGAGCCGCCUCCCAAGUGGCAAUGGAGGAAAUAAACACAGCUGCCCGGCCGCCAGGGGUCGGCCUGGAGGAGACCAUGUGCCCCCACCCCACCCCCGUCCGCGCCCACCCCCCCCGCCCCUCCCCCCCUGCUCCCAGGGCACUGCCGCGGGGCAGCCAGCGCAGGCCUCCGCCAGCCUCGAGUGGAAUUCACACGGGUCUCUCUAGCUCUUCUCCAUUUUUUUUU
Molecule: long non-coding RNA, 608 nt
Filed under: Equus caballus (horse)
Lineage: Eukaryota; Metazoa; Chordata; Mammalia; Perissodactyla; Equidae
Description: lncRNA (ENSECAG00000045064.1)
Source: RNAcentral